AGCGAACGCUGGCGGCAGGCUUAACACAUGCAAGUCGAGCGGGCACUCCGGUGUCACCGGCUGACGGGUGAGUAACGCGUGGGAACGUACCCUUUGGCUCGGAAUAAUGCUGGGAAACUAGCGCUAAUACCGGAUACGCUCUGCUGGGGAAACGCAUGCUGCCGAAGUAUCGGCACGCGUCGGAUUAGCUAGUUGGGGGGGUAAUGGCCUACCAAGGCGACGAUCAGUAGCUGGUCUGAGAGGAAGCGCAGCUACCCUCGGACAGAGACACGGCCCCGACACCUACGCGGGGCAGCAGCGCGGACUAUUGCGGAAGGGGGGAAAGCGUGAUCCAGCCAAACCGGGGCGGUGCUGAAGCCGUCCUGGCGGGUAAGUCAUGAUGUCGUGAGGGUUGUGCAGCACUUUUGUCCGCCGCGAUACUGACGGUACCGGAAGAAUAAGCCCCGGCUAACUUCGUG
Molecule: ribosomal RNA, 458 nt
Filed under: uncultured bacterium
Lineage: Bacteria
Description: partial 16S ribosomal RNA
Rfam family: Bacterial small subunit ribosomal RNA
Source: RNAcentral